ACAUUGAAGUGAUGAUUUCAUAGUUCAGCUGAGAAACUUUGAUGUUAUACUACAACAAUGUCUUUCGCUCCUAUCUGAUUUAAUAU
Diachasma alloeum is the source of this 86-nucleotide small nucleolar RNA. RefSeq annotates it as small nucleolar RNA snR60/Z15/Z230/Z193/J17. Lineage: Eukaryota; Metazoa; Arthropoda; Insecta; Hymenoptera; Braconidae. The record is from RefSeq and is a predicted model, not a curated record. The transcript has a single exon.